GAUGAACGCUGGCGGCGUGCCUAAUACAUGCAAGUCGAGCGAACAGACGAGGAGCUUGCUCCUCUGACGUUAGCGGCGGACGGGUGAGUAACACGUGGAUAACCUACCUAUAAGACUGGGAUAACUUCGGGAAACCGGAGCUAAUACCGGAUAAUAUAUUGAACCGCAUGGUGCAAUAGUGAAAGACGGUUUUGCUGUCACUUAUAGAUGGAUCCGCGCCGCAUUAGCUAGUUGGUAAGGUAACGGCUUACCAAGGCAACGAUGCGUAGCCGACCUGAGAGGGUGAUCGGCCACACUGGAACUGAGACACGGUCCAGACUCCUACGGGAGGCAGCAGUAGGGAAUCUUCCGCAAUGGGCGAAAGCCUGACGGAGCAACGCCGCGUGAGUGAUGAAGGUCUUCGGAUCGUAAAACUCUGUUAUUAGGGAAGAACAAAUGUGUAAGUAACUAUGCACGUCUUGACGGUACCUAAUCAGAAAGCCACGGCUAACUACGUG
RNAcentral lists this ribosomal RNA (497 nucleotides) under uncultured bacterium. RNAcentral describes it as "partial 16S ribosomal RNA". It matches the Rfam family "Bacterial small subunit ribosomal RNA", at positions 28 to 507 of the family's 1533-position model. The record is from RNAcentral.